This 253-nucleotide ribosomal RNA is filed under the name uncultured bacterium. RNAcentral's name for it is "partial 16S ribosomal RNA". It matches the Rfam family "Bacterial small subunit ribosomal RNA", at positions 524 to 776 of the family's 1533-position model. The record is from RNAcentral.
UACGAAGGGGGCUAGCGUUGUUCGGAAUUACUGGGCGUAAAGCGCACGUAGGCGGAUAUUUAAGUCAGGGGUGAAAUCCCAGAGCUCAACUCUGGAACUGCCUUUGAUACUGGGUAUCUUGAGUAUGGAAGAGGUGAGUGGAAUUCCGAGUGUAGAGGUGAAAUUCGUAGAUAUUCGGAGGAACACCAGUGGCGAAGGCGGCUCACUGGUCCAUUACUGACGCUGAGGUACGAAAGCGUGGGGAGCAAACAGG